RNAcentral lists this ribosomal RNA (216 nucleotides) under Coprococcus eutactus. RNAcentral's name for it is "partial 16S ribosomal RNA". It matches the Rfam family "Bacterial small subunit ribosomal RNA", at positions 118 to 333 of the family's 1533-position model. The record is from RNAcentral. Lineage: Bacteria; Bacillati; Bacillota; Clostridia; Lachnospirales; Lachnospiraceae.
UGGGUAACCUGCCUCAUACAGGGGGAUAGCAGUUGGAAACGACUGGUAAAACCGCAUAAGCGCACGGUAUCGCAUGAUACAGUGUGAAAACACUCCGGUGGUAUGAGAUGGACCCGCGUCUGAUUAGCUAGUUGGUGAGGUAACGGCCCACCAAGGCGACGAUCAGUAGCCGGCCUGAGAGGGUGAACGGCCACAUUGGGACUGAGACACGGCCCA